AGAGCUGGCUCAGUGGUUGCGGGGUGAGAGCGGAUCUUCGAUCUGUUUUCAUCUUGAGGAAAGUCCGGGCUCCCAAAAAGUCAAACUUGCUGGGUAACGCCCAGUGCGGGUGACCGUGAGGAGAGUGCCACAGAAACAUACCGCCGAUGGAGAGGAAACUUUCACAGGUAAGGGUGCAAGGGUGCGGUAAGAGCGCACCGGCAGCAUCGAGAGGUGCUGGCCAGGUAAACCCCGGUUGGGUGCAAGGCCGAAGGAGCGACGGUUGACUUUUUACCGGCUCCGUUUUAAGUGUGCCGCUAGAGGCGUUUGGUAACAGACGUCCCAGAUAGAUAACCACCUCAUAGAAAAGGGCUUGGCCCUGCUUCUAUUGAGAACAGAACCCGGCUUAGGUCCAGCUCUAGAU
RNAcentral lists this RNase P RNA (403 nucleotides) under cf. Phormidesmis sp. LEGE 11477. RNAcentral describes it as "Bacterial RNase P class A". It matches the Rfam family "Bacterial RNase P class A". From Rfam's summary of the family: Ribonuclease P (RNase P) is a ubiquitous endoribonuclease, found in archaea, bacteria and eukarya as well as chloroplasts and mitochondria. Its best characterised activity is the generation of mature 5'-ends of tRNAs by cleaving the 5'-leader elements of precursor-tRNAs. Cellular RNase Ps are ribonucleoproteins. The record is from Rfam by way of RNAcentral. Lineage: Bacteria; Bacillati; Cyanobacteriota; Cyanophyceae; Leptolyngbyales; Leptolyngbyaceae.